RNA transcript from Polypterus senegalus (gray bichir), 983 nucleotides. It is a transcript of the gene named T cell receptor delta constant, with no coding region annotated. The record is from RefSeq and is a predicted model, not a curated record. The transcript has 5 exons. NCBI's taxonomy places the organism in Eukaryota, Metazoa, Chordata, Cladistia, Polypteriformes, Polypteridae.
AACCAAGCUUUUAGUCAGCUUUUUUGUUGUACUAUCUGCUGCUGUGUACAGAUAAACUAACCUUUGGAGCUGGAACUAAACUGACCGUUACUCCAAGAGACCAGAAUCCAACAAAUCCUCAGCUGAAUAUUACCGUAAUAAAAACCAAAAACAAUAAUAAGGCAGCAGUGUGUCUGGCUUCAGAUUUCUAUGACUCCUCAAAGACCUUGACAUUAACUUCGGAAGGCAAGGAUCUGUUAAAGGCUAACAUGGAAAAUACAACGUUGUCCUUAACCAAGAAGUUAUAUAGUUUUGCUGGUGUUAAGGAAAUAAAUUCAAUGAAAGAACUGACUUGUAAUGUGGAUGGACAAACGGUAUCUUACAAGGAAAAUACGGAAUCAAAUCCAUCAACCAUCAAUGCUGCACCACGUAACAAAACCUGCAAUUCAACUGAUGCAUGGAAGCAGCCUGAAUCACAUGAUUUAACAAAGAUUAAUUUUCUGUCUCUGACUGUAAAUGGACUAAGAGUGCUGUUAGCAAAGUGUGUGGCUUUUAAUCUACUGAUGACAGCCAGAGCCACCAUAUUCUAAAAGCAAGAAUGGCAAAAUCUGUAUAAGGAGAGCUACUGUUUUUGAUGUCAAUUUUUCUUUUUUUUUUUUUUUGCUUUUAGAAUAUUUUGUUUUUUAUUUUAUGUAUAUUUUGCUUAUUUCAGUAUUCAUAAUCAAAAUAAGCUUGAAUUUUAAUUAAAGAAAUAUUAUGGCAAAAUCAUAUUUUAAAACACUUCUGUAACGCAUAAAUAUCAUUGCUGACUGAAGUUUAGAUGCUAAGAAUAAAUUGAAUUGAAAGCUCAUACAGAAAAAUGCUCUGUUGUUCAUUCACACCAUUAAUUAAUUGUUAUCCAUUUGGCUAUUUUAUAUAUUCUUCACAGAAUAACAAAAUAAAAAUAUACUGUAUGUUUAAUAUCUUAAAACGGACUUUUAUUUCACAUGUAACAAUUCACAUCU